RNAcentral lists this long non-coding RNA (2486 nucleotides) under Bos indicus x Bos taurus (hybrid cattle). RNAcentral's name for it is "lncRNA (ENSBIXG00000028727.1)". The record is from RNAcentral. Lineage: Eukaryota; Metazoa; Chordata; Mammalia; Artiodactyla; Bovidae.
GAACUCAUUCGCAGUUCCGCCGGCUUUGGCUUCACAUUAAGUGGAGGCCGAGAUGCAGGUGGGGAUGCUCCGCUGGCAGUGCGCCGGCUGCUGAAGGAUGGACCAGCUCAGCGCUGUGGUCGCUUGCAGGUGAACCAAAAGGCACCCUCCAUUCGAUGGUGCCAGCCCUGUCCUCUCCCGUUGGUGUGCUCUCCAUUUUGACCUUCCUACAACACCCCUUGCCUUGCACUCUUUCAGGCCGGCGACCUCGUGCUUCACAUCAAUGGAGAGUCAACUCAGGGCCUCACUCAUGUUGAGGUCGUGGAUCGGAUUCGUAGAGGUGGCCCCCGGCUUUGCCUCGUGCUAAGCAGGCCUCCUGAAACCCACCCUGGCAAGCCUGAGGUGGUAGGAAGGCCCCAGAAAGAAGAUGUCCUGCCAUCCCCAGAUCGCAUUCCAGAUCCUGGGGAGCCAGAGAUGACGAAGACUCGCAGCGCCAGCACUUCCUCCCCACUUCAGCAUCCACGACCCCGUACGACCCCCCAAAACCGGGGCAGCCAGGAGCCUCGCCUAGAAGGGGCGGCCGACGGCCCCGCGGUUCUUGCUGCAGAGCGCCGCACGGAGGACCCCAACGACCAAACUCCGGAUUCUCCCGGACCCUGGCUGACGCCCAGCGAGGAACGGCUCUCGCGGGCCCUAGGGGUCCCGGGGGCCGAGCAGCUCGCCCUGGAGAUGGCAACCGGAAGGCGGAGGCACUGAGCGUGCAGCAGAAGGUUCACUUGGCAUUCCCCAACCUACAUCUGGCGUGCUGCCCCCGCCGCUCUCUUAGCAUCACUGGAGAACUUCCUUGGUCUUGUUCCCCACCCCCGCACCCCCCGCAUCUUGCUUCGCAGUCGACCCGCCCGCGCUCCCCUUGUGGCGUCAGUGGUAUGGCCCUUCCCAACCGGCCAGCCCGGCGCUUCUUGUUUCGGGGCCGGGGAGGUAAUAAAAUGGUUCAAUCCAGUCUUGACUUGUCAGGUGCUCCAGGCCAGGUGGGGAUCCCAAGUCCCACACGUGAAGGAGGGGGAGGGUCGAUCUGGUUUCGAGGAGGGCCUCUUCAAGCAACCUUUGGCAAGCUUACUUCGCGCUGUUUCUUUCAUGCCUCUAAAGAGCUCUUUGCUUCUGCCGGCGCGCAUUGGACCCACUCCGUUCCCACUUUGCCAACUCCUGGUUCUUUCCCCAUUCAUUCAUUUCACUUUUUUGGAGGUGUACAGGGCUCACAGCUAAUUAUUGCGCAUGGCGUGGGGAAUGCAGAGGUGGGCCUGUUGUGGCAAGAGUGCACCAGUUUACCCUCAACCCCGGCGGGCCGGGAAUCGUCCAGACCCUCAAGUGCACUAGAUAGCAAAGUUAGAACCUAGCGGCUUCCUUCGCCGAGAGCCUGCGGUCACUCACUUCCGGCCUGGUCGGCCAGCUUUCGCUGGCUGUAGACUGCCACCCUCAAGGCACCGGCUGGGGCCCCGGAGCCCCCUUCGGGGCGGAGCCAGGAAGGUGUGAGUCAGCAGGCUGGGCUAAAAACGGCUGUUAGAAACUUUGGGCCGCGCCCCCUCUUCCACAGAUGGUGACGAACUGCAGCCGGGCUUGUGUGCACACGCUACACGCUGGGCGUUCCCAGUCCUGGAAGAGGCCAGAGUUUCCUCCGUCCUGGGAACAGAGCCCCAAAGCCCGGUCUUAUAUGGCGAGCUGGGCUCUGAUGUAGCCCCAGUGCCAGCGCUUACUGAGAUCAGCAAUGUCCAGUCACCUCCGUGGUCACCACACUCACGACACUUGGCCCUAUCCCCCCAACGAAGGAAGCUGUGGUCUGGAGGGAAUGAACAACUCUCACCUCUAUGGGGAGGGGCUGGAGAGGUGGGAGGAAGUAAAGGACCCUCGUGGGAGUGUCCAGGGCGGCGCUGGAGAAGAAAGAGGGACUGUAAAACUAGGCUGGGAGUUGGGGUAUAAAGAGGUGAAGAGGUGAACCCUUGAAUGAUUAGUGCUGUAGCAAUUGUGGGAGAGUGCACUGGGGCUUCUAGCUGACCCUUACUCAGCUUGAUAGAAGGUGUGGCUCUAGGGAAGUCAGGGAAGGACUUCAGAGCCUUAGUCACACCCAGGAGUCUUAACAAUAGUAACCCCAACCACCAUUUACUUGGUUUUAUCCUGGCUACCGGCUUUACUGGCACUAUUUCCACUUAGUUACACAUUGACUCAACAAUCCUGAUGCGUCCAUUUCACAGAGCAGAGAAAUGAAUCCCAGUGAGUAUAAAUAGCGUAAGUUGAGGAUUGAAGCAAGAUUUAAUCUUGCCCAAUUCUUUGACAAGUAUUAACUGAACCCCAACUGUUUACCUUGCACUGUGAUAGGCACUGAUGAAAUGUUGGAGGGAUGAAACAUAGAUUUCUAUCCUUGUGUAUCUAAUGUAGUGGAGGGGGGUAGAUUGAUGUCAGAAAAGACACAGGAGAUGAAUAAAAGAAUUUCAGAGAGAAGUGAGAGUUAUGAA